GCCCGAGUGGUGAAAUCGGUAGACACAAGGGAUUUAAAAUCCCUCGGAACUUAUACUUCCGUGCCAGUUCGAUUCUGGCCUCGGGCACCA
RNAcentral lists this transfer RNA (90 nucleotides) under Ruminobacter amylophilus. RNAcentral describes it as "tRNA_Leu_TAA". It matches the Rfam family "tRNA". Rfam says of the family: Transfer RNA (tRNA) molecules are approximately 80 nucleotides in length. RNAcentral also lists the same sequence under 3 other names. The record is from RNAcentral. Lineage: Bacteria; Pseudomonadati; Pseudomonadota; Gammaproteobacteria; Aeromonadales; Succinivibrionaceae.